UAUAAAUUAUGGUACAACAAUCAACAAAAUCCACUAGGCAUCUUUAUUAGUAAUAAAGAUGCCUAGUGGAUUUUGUUGAUUGUUGUACCU
This 90-nucleotide small RNA is filed under the name Paramuricea clavata. Lineage: Eukaryota; Metazoa; Cnidaria; Anthozoa; Malacalcyonacea; Plexauridae. The record is from RNAcentral.